GGAGGAUUACUCAAGUGGUUUAAGAGGCCCGCUUGGAAAGCGUGUAGACGUUGAAAAACGUGCGUGGGUUCGAAUCCCAUAUCCUCCU
This 88-nucleotide transfer RNA is filed under the name Lactococcus lactis. RNAcentral describes it as "tRNA-Ser". It matches the Rfam family "tRNA". Rfam says of the family: Transfer RNA (tRNA) molecules are approximately 80 nucleotides in length. Their secondary structure includes four short double-helical elements and three loops (D, anti-codon, and T loops). Further hydrogen bonds mediate the characteristic L-shaped molecular structure. tRNAs have two regions of fundamental functional importance: the anti-codon, which is responsible for specific mRNA codon recognition, and the 3' end, to which the tRNAs corresponding amino acid is attached (by aminoacyl-tRNA synthetases). tRNAs cope with the degeneracy of the genetic code in two manners: having more than one tRNA (with a specific anti-codon) for a particular amino acid; and 'wobble' base-pairing, i.e. permitting non-standard base-pairing at the 3rd anti-codon position. Lineage: Bacteria; Bacillati; Bacillota; Bacilli; Lactobacillales; Streptococcaceae. The record is from RNAcentral.